GCGGGUGUAUCCGAACUGGCAUAGGAGGUGGUCUCAAACACCACUGUCGAAAGGCGUGUGGGUUCAAGUCCCACCACCCGCACCA
RNAcentral lists this transfer RNA (85 nucleotides) under Clostridia bacterium. Its description in RNAcentral is "tRNA-Leu". It matches the Rfam family "tRNA". From Rfam's summary of the family: Transfer RNA (tRNA) molecules are approximately 80 nucleotides in length. Their secondary structure includes four short double-helical elements and three loops (D, anti-codon, and T loops). Further hydrogen bonds mediate the characteristic L-shaped molecular structure. tRNAs have two regions of fundamental functional importance: the anti-codon, which is responsible for specific mRNA codon recognition, and the 3' end, to which the tRNAs corresponding amino acid is attached (by aminoacyl-tRNA synthetases). tRNAs cope with the degeneracy of the genetic code in two manners: having more than one tRNA (with a specific anti-codon) for a particular amino acid; and 'wobble' base-pairing, i.e. permitting non-standard base-pairing at the 3rd anti-codon position. The record is from RNAcentral. Lineage: Bacteria; Bacillati; Bacillota; Clostridia.